RNAcentral lists this ribosomal RNA (834 nucleotides) under uncultured soil archaeon. RNAcentral's name for it is "bacterial SSU rRNA". It matches the Rfam family "Archaeal small subunit ribosomal RNA", at positions 21 to 859 of the family's 1478-position model. The record is from RNAcentral.
CGGCCACCGCUAUUGGAAUUCGAUUAAGACAUGCGAGUCGAGAGUCGUAAGGACUCGGCGGACCGCUCAGUAACACGCGGAUAACAUGCCCUAAGGUGGAGGAUAAUCUCGGGAAACUGAGAAUAAUACUCCAUAGAUCUAGAAUGCUGGAAUGCUUUUAGGUCGAAAACUCCGGUGCCUUAGGAUUGGUCUGCGGCGUAUCAGGUUGUAGUGGGUGUAACGGACCCACUAGCCGAUGACGCGUAUGGGCCUUGAGAGAGGAAGCCCAGAGAUGGACUCUGAGACAUGAGCCCAGGCCCUACGGGGCGCAGCAGUCGCGAAAACUUCACAAUGGGGGCAACCCCGAUGAGGGAAUUCCAAGUGCUAGCACUUUUUGUGUUAGCUGUUCUUUUGUCUAAAAAACAAGAGAAGUAAGGGCCGGGUAAGACGGGUGCCAGCCGCCGCGGUAAUACCCGCGGCCCGAGUGGUGGUCGAUAUUAUUGAGCCUAAAACGUUCGUAGCCGGUCUUGUAAAUCCUUGGGUAAAUCGGCCAGCUUAACUGUCCGAAGUCCGGGGAGACUGCAAGACUUGGGAUCGGGAGAGGUCAGAGGUACUUCUGGGGUAGGGGUAAAAUCCUGUAAUCCUAGAAGGACCACCGGUGGCGAAGGCGUCUGACUAGAACGAAUUCGACGGUGAGGAACGAAGCCCUGGGGCGCAAACGGGAUUAGAUACCCCGGUAGUCCAGGGUGUAAACGCUGCGGGCUUGGUGUUGGGGGUCCUUAGUGGGCGCCCAGUGCCGGAGAGAAGUUGUUAAGCCUGCUGCUUGGGGAGUACGUCCGCAAGGAUGAAACUUAA